Molecule: microRNA, 21 nt
Filed under: Medicago truncatula (barrel medic)
Lineage: Eukaryota; Viridiplantae; Streptophyta; Magnoliopsida; Fabales; Fabaceae
Description: mtr-miR2631
Source: miRBase by way of RNAcentral
UGACACGCCACGUGGCACACU